UGAUAGAGGCGCGAAGUCCAAGAGUACCGUUCUCCAAAGGUUCAGGCGGGGGAGCGGGAAAGGGGCCUUCGCCGAGGUGCGGCCCGCCUUGCCUGAAAGGCCGCCGCGCCGGGCCGCGGGAGAACAUCCCCCGGACUGUCGCCCCGAAAACUCGGGGCGGAGCGCUGUCGU
Molecule: non-coding RNA, 171 nt
Filed under: chicken gut metagenome
Description: Lysine riboswitch
Rfam family: Lysine riboswitch aptamer
About the family: Riboswitches are metabolite binding domains within certain messenger RNAs that serve as precision sensors for their corresponding targets. Allosteric rearrangement of mRNA structure is mediated by ligand binding, and this results in modulation of gene expression.
Source: RNAcentral